Molecule: ribosomal RNA, 253 nt
Filed under: uncultured bacterium
Lineage: Bacteria
Description: partial 16S ribosomal RNA
Rfam family: Bacterial small subunit ribosomal RNA
Source: RNAcentral
UACGGAGGGUGCAAGCGUUAUCCGGAUUCACUGGGCUUAAAGGGUGCGUAGGUGGGUCUGUAAGUCAGUGGUGAAAUCUCCGGGCUUAACCCGGAAACUGCCAUUGAUACUAUAGGUCUUGAAUUUUCUGGAGGUGAGCGGAAUAUGUCAUGUAGCGGUGAAAUGCUUAGAUAUGACAUAGAACACCAAUUGCGAAGGCAGCUCGCUACAGGAAUAUUGACACUGAGGCACGAAAGCGUGGGGAUCAAACAGG